UAAUCUUGAUCAGAAUAAACACGAAGACACCAAAUGUACAAUUAUUACUAUACAGGGGAGGAGAAUCUACUUGUCAUCUUUCAUCUAAGAUUAAUAAUAAAUCAGUACAGCUGAAAUAUAGCAUCCAUCCGAACUGUCGUCAAGCUAUCAAAACUGACGGAUACUUCCAUGCAUCAAAAUGAGAUGUCUUAAGCCAUAGAAAUAUUUAGUUUCACCUCUGCUUUGGAGACCUCCCUUUUGACCACGGCAGUGUUUGCCAAAGGGCUGUUAACCUCAACUCCAGGGAGUGCGGGCAUUCUGGUGGAAAUGUAAGAGCUGCCAACCGUGCCCAGCUCCAGGGGUCCGAACUCCCUUCUGCUCAGCUCAGCUGGCCUCUACCGGGAGCUUCCAGCUUCUUCCUCACGGGCAGGUCCUUUGAAACUGUUACCCGAGGUCAUUUCCUGAGGACAGUCAACGGCAUCUUCAUGUAUCCUGGAAUGGGAAAUUGUGCCUGAAAAUCUGAAUUGAAUAAACAUGGAAAACAGAUCCUCUGUUAUUUUGGACUUUGCGAUUUACCAUCGAGCCAUUAAAAAUGAAUUUACGCAUCAGUCAACAUGCCCAGGGAGACUACUUUCCUGGCAGAGGAAACAACAGCUUCAAAAUGGGGUUGUACGAGCCUUGAGUUCUGGGGGUGAGGGCUGCGCUGCCCGGCACUACCGACCACCGACCACCGCCUGGAGCCGUGAGAAGGUCGGAGGGGAUGACACUCCCACCUUGGGCCUCAGGCCUGGGCCACCGUUGUCCUCCCGCAGGCCCUGCAGCCUCUGGCCCGAGCAGAAGUGUGCUGCUGGCCACUGCGAGCCUUGGCUUUUGACUCUGCCCCUUCCAGGCGGUUCAGAAGAUCUCACAGACGCAGGCUUCACUCUCCAGAUCACUAUGUUACAGCCCAGGGGUUCUAAAAGGAUUCAGCAACAUUCUCUGUAGUCCAGGGAGUCCGAGGCGACGCAGAUGCCUGUGGUAAGGGAUCGAUUAUGUGAUAGCAGAGGCCUGGGAUUUGGGCAGGAGACUGAUGUGCAGUGGCUCCUCCCUCUGUGAGUGGGGAUGGAGUUGGCCUUCUGCGUGUUGGCCCAGACCGCCCCCCCCCUUGGGGCCAGGGACACUGCCCGGGGAGGGCUCCGGCUCCCCGAAGGAGGGAAGUUGGUGAGGUUCCUGCCCUGUCUGGGGGCGGGGGGUGGGUCUCAGAGCUGAAGCAAAAAUGAUCAACUUUUAUUGGCACAAGGUCUGCCCUCCUUGGCCGAAACCAGAUGGGGCCAAAUGCUCCUUUAUUAGCCAGACAGCAGGUACGAGAAUGGGCCACUAUUUCAGACAGUAGACUUUUAUGUGAUUCCAUAGAAAUUUUAUAGUUCUUUCCGAUAACGCGAGAGAAAAUAACCUCAUCAAUUUCUGUCUUAAGAUUUGCUUGAGAAAUGUGCCCAGUGGGAUGUUUGCGAUGAGUAACAGAUUUCUGUGAAUGUGAUUUUUGUUAGUGUUUAUUUAAACAGAGAAUUGUAGUCAAAAUGCAGCCUUCAUCUUUCUCCCUGAUUUUUUUUUUAAAGGCUAGUUAUAUUUUUGUGGUUUGAAAAAGUCUUUUUUAAAUUCUGAAGACUUAAAAAAAACUUUGUUUGCUGUGGUUAUUUUUCUAUAUGUGUUAACAUCUAAAAAAAAAAAAAAAAAGAAGUGCUGAACACCAAAAUUGUAUUUUGAAUAAAGAAUGUAAA
Long non-coding RNA from Vulpes vulpes (red fox), 1736 nucleotides. NCBI's taxonomy places the organism in Eukaryota, Metazoa, Chordata, Mammalia, Carnivora, Canidae. The record is from Ensembl.